RNAcentral lists this non-coding RNA (180 nucleotides) under Bacillota bacterium. RNAcentral describes it as "6S RNA". It matches the Rfam family "6S / SsrS RNA". Rfam says of the family: E. coli 6S RNA was the first non coding RNA to be sequenced, but its function was unknown until recently. It consists of 184 nucleotides that fold into an extended hairpin structure with a large single-stranded internal bulge. The record is from RNAcentral. Lineage: Bacteria; Bacillati; Bacillota.
AUCGACCUGGGAUGUGCGUAAGCCUUUCAAUUAUGUUCAACCUACGCGUUGUUUACGGGAGAUCGAUGUAUGUGCGGCUGUCAAGCCUCCAAGUCAGGGGAAGACAAAGGCAGUACCAGAUCACCCACCUGCUGAGAGCGGGUCUUGAACAUAAGAGAGGAACGGCAUCGCGGGUUUUGU